This 84-nucleotide transfer RNA is filed under the name Bacteroidota bacterium. RNAcentral describes it as "tRNA-Leu". It matches the Rfam family "tRNA". From Rfam's summary of the family: Transfer RNA (tRNA) molecules are approximately 80 nucleotides in length. The record is from RNAcentral. Lineage: Bacteria; Pseudomonadati; Bacteroidota.
GCCGAAAUGGCGGAACUGGUAGACGCGCUGGACUCAAAAUCCAGUGACCCAAAAGUUGUGUGGGUUCGAGUCCCACUUUCGGCA